Talaromyces stipitatus ATCC 10500 is the source of this 99-nucleotide non-coding RNA. The record is from the annotation of a RefSeq genome assembly. Lineage: Eukaryota; Fungi; Ascomycota; Eurotiomycetes; Eurotiales; Trichocomaceae.
GGCCGGUUGGAGUAGCUGGUUAUCUCGCAUCGUUAACAGGAUUGUAGUAAUACAAACCAAUUACCGAUGAGGUCGCCGGAUCGAGCCCGGCACUGGUCA